This is a long non-coding RNA of Solanum tuberosum (potato), 678 nucleotides long. RefSeq lists it as uncharacterized. Lineage: Eukaryota; Viridiplantae; Streptophyta; Magnoliopsida; Solanales; Solanaceae. The transcript is spliced from 6 exons. The record is from RefSeq and is a predicted model, not a curated record.
UAUAUUAGCAAUCGUUCUUCGCUGUGGUCCUCAAAAAAACGCCGGUCGCAGUCAUCAUAGGUGUCGAGAAAUUACCCUUUGUGACAAUCAGAAAAAUCAGUUUCUCUUCACUCUAUGGGAGGAUUUUGGAGAAAUAGAAGGACAUGAAAUUUCCUCAAAAAUGGCAACAUAGGCAGAUCUGCUUGUAAUCCUCGGAAGGAGUAUAAGAAUCUCUACUUAUCAAGGGCAAAAGAGAACAAAACAAUGUUGUUAAGUUGUCCAUCAGAUAAAACCUCCACAAGCUCAUCUACCGCUCCCAUGAUAGUCACUACUGCUGGCCAACAACUUCUCUCUAUUGCAUAAAUCUCAUCAGCGCCUUCUAUGGGAGUGUUCUGUGUUGAAGCAGAGAUGGCCAUAUUAGAUGAAUUCCAAGAAUUCUGUGUGCUUGAAUGCUCAGGCUGCAAACAGAAGAAGCGCACAAAGGAUAGAAAGGAUUUUGACUGUCCAAAAUGCAAUCGGAAAACAACCUUAGUGCCUCGUUGUAGCUUCCAACUUGAUCUUAUUGACAAUACUGCUACAACCACAGCAUCUAUCUCUGCUGAAUUAGGAGAAAAAAUACUGUCCAUGACAGCACAAGACAUAUUUGACAUAACUUGCACUAAGCGACAAUCAUUGUCUCUUACUCAUGUCCAUGAGAUG